Molecule: long non-coding RNA, 676 nt
Filed under: Malus domestica (apple)
Lineage: Eukaryota; Viridiplantae; Streptophyta; Magnoliopsida; Rosales; Rosaceae
Description: long non-coding RNA (MDOM_LNC010734)
Source: RNAcentral
GCAAAACAUGAAAGGAGGAAUUAAAACAUCACAAGGCAGGAACAGAUAAAGAAGCAGAAAGUGAUUCUCCUACUUGUUUCUCUAGGGGCAUAAUAAUUGAAUAGUCAUAGCCGACCACAAACUCGUGCACCGCUUGCGGACCCAACUAAUUACUAGUAGGGGCUGUAGCCCCCUAUUAAAUUUCCUUUAGGUUAUUCAAUCUUCCAUAUACAUCUAAGCUUUCCAACUAAUUACUAGUAGGGGCUGUAGCCCCCUAUUAAAUUUCCUUUAGGUUAUUCAAUCUUCCAUAUACAUCUAAGCUUUCCUUGUGACACUGUUUUACACAUCCCUACUCUUACUAUUGCCAACAUGCUACCAUUCGAAGCCCAAAGAUGGAAUCCAUUUUUUCUUUUUAAUCUUUUCCAACUUUUCGGAUAAGUUCACACAGAGAACCAAAAAAUGUGUCCAUUCUAUUCAUGGCAUCGGGCAUGGGAUCACAACCUGUCUCGUUACAAGUUAUCAUUUGGUAAUGCAAAGCAUGUAUGCAUAUGACAAUAAAGGGAAAGUCAAGAAGACAGUCAAGCAUUCUACUACGUAGGGAAGAGAUGAAGCAACUUCAUCAUAACAUAGUGGUGACAAAAGAUCAAAGAAAUUAAUCAUUGAUGAAGAAUAGUAUCAUAAAAGGACAUGUUAAGUA